UAGUACAGAGGCCUUUCGUGCCUUUGAAAU
Molecule: non-coding RNA, 30 nt
Filed under: Mus musculus (house mouse)
Lineage: Eukaryota; Metazoa; Chordata; Mammalia; Rodentia; Muridae
Source: RNAcentral